This 643-nucleotide ribosomal RNA is filed under the name Pontella fera. Its description in RNAcentral is "SSU rRNA". It matches the Rfam family "Eukaryotic small subunit ribosomal RNA", at positions 568 to 1209 of the family's 1831-position model. Lineage: Eukaryota; Metazoa; Arthropoda; Copepoda; Calanoida; Pontellidae. The record is from RNAcentral.
CAGCAGCCGCGGUAAUUCCAGCUCCAAUAGCGUAUCUUAAAGUUGUUGUGCUUAAAAAGCUCGUAGUUGGAUUUCGGCGGGCGACGGUUGGUUUGAAUCGCUUCAACACUGACUUUUUUGCCCGUGUGUGUUUGCCAGAGUCUGACAGGUGAUCUUAACCGAUUGUCCGUUGGAGCUGGCAGGUAUUACUUUGAAAAAAUUAGAGUGCUCAAAGCAAGCUUGAUUGCUUGAAUAUUCGUGCAUGGAAUAAUAGAAUAGGAAGUCGUUUCUAUUUUGUUGGUUUUCGGAGAUUGACUUAAUGAUUAAUAGGGAUAGUCGGGGGCAUUUGUAUUCAAACGACAGAGGUGAAAUUCUUGGACCGUUUGAAGACAAACUACUGCGAAAGCAUUUGCCAAGAAUGUUUUCAUUAAUCAAGAACGAAAGUUAGAGGUUCGAAGGCGAUUAGAUACCGCCCUAGUUCUAACCAUAAACGAUGCCAGCUAGCGAUCUGCCAGCGUUUAAUUUUCUGACUUGGCAGGGAGCUUCCGGGAAACCAAAGCUUGUGGGUUGCAGGGGAAGUAUGGUUGCAAAGCUGAAACUUAAAGGAAUUGACGGAAGGGCACCACCGGGGUGGAGCCUGUGGCUUAAUUUGACUCAACACGGG